Molecule: ribosomal RNA, 827 nt
Filed under: Salmonella enterica subsp. enterica serovar Enteritidis
Lineage: Bacteria; Pseudomonadati; Pseudomonadota; Gammaproteobacteria; Enterobacterales; Enterobacteriaceae
Description: partial 23S ribosomal RNA
Rfam family: Bacterial large subunit ribosomal RNA
Source: RNAcentral
CCGGAGGGAAACCGAGUCUUAACCGGGCGUUAAGUUGCAGGGUAUAGACCCGAAACCCGGUGAUCUAGCCAUGGGCAGGUUGAAGGUUGGGUAACACUAACUGGAGGACCGAACCGACUAAUGUUGAAAAAUUAGCGGAUGACCUGUGGCUGGGGGUGAAAGGCCAAUCAAACCGGGAGAUAGCUGGUUCUCCCCGAAAGCUAUUUAGGUAGCGCCUCGUGAAUUCAUCUCCGGGGGUAGAGCACUGUUUCGGCUAGGGGGCCAUCCCGGCUUACCAACCCGAUGCAAACUGCGAAUACCGGAGAAUGUUAUCACGGGAGACACACGGCGGGUGCUAACGUCCGUCGUGAAGAGGGAAACAACCCAGACCGCCAGCUAAGGUCCCAAAGUCAUGGUUAAGUGGGAAACGAUGUGGGAAGGCCCAGACAGCCAGGAUGUUGGCUUAGAAGCAGCCAUCAUUUAAAGAAAGCGUAAUAGCUCACUGGUCGAGUCGGCCUGCGCGGAAGAUGUAACGGGGCUAAACCAUGCACCGAAGCUGCGGCAGCGACACUGUGUGUUGUUGGGUAGGGGAGCGUUCUGUAAGCCUGUGAAGGUGUGUCGUGAGGCAUGCUGGAGGUAUCAGAAGUGCGAAUGCUGACAUAAGUAACGAUAAAGCGGGUGAAAAGCCCGCUCGCCGGAAGACCAAGGGUUCCUGUCCAACGUUAAUCGGGGCAGGGUGAGUCGACCCCUAAGGCGAGGCCGAAAGGCGUAGUCGAUGGGAAACGGGUUAAUAUUCCCGUACUUGGUGUUACUGCGAAGGGGGGACGGAGAAGGCUAUGUUGGCCGGG